UUUCUAUUUUGGUUUUUAAAGAAGAGUAUCUAAGGAACUUCCCCUUUGGCCAGUGAGAUGCUGAGUCAAAAACUGGGAGCCCAAGGGAUCACCUUCGAUAGCCCCUGGUCCUGUGGAAAAACAUAAAAUCUACUUAAAUGAGACAAAAUGCUGUUGCUCGUAGGGAGCGUUUCAAGAGACAGGUGAGCUGGGGGACUUAGCCAGCAACCCCUGGAAGGUAUCUCCGAUGAGGACCAUUUGGACAGUUCAGAUGGGGGACCGUUCCAAUCCUCAUUUGGCAGAUGAUCACCAUAGCUCGGAGGGGAUAAGAUGAGAUGAAGGUCAGCCCGCUACAUCUGCAGCAGUCAGAAUGGAAGAUUGUGUCACUAAUCCGGGCCGGAGGACCCAGAAGCUGGGCAUGCAUGAGAAACUGGCCAUGGAAUUUCAUGAGCGCAAACUAAUGUAUUUAAAACAAAAGCAUGACAUGAAGAUGCAAAUCCCUCAUGUUGAGUUGGCUAUGAAGGAGGAGGCGAGAAACAUGAAGCAGCAGCAGUACCAAUGUUCUUCAUGUUGAGUUGGCUAUGAAGGAG
RNAcentral lists this long non-coding RNA (569 nucleotides) under Salmo salar (Atlantic salmon). Its description in RNAcentral is "lncRNA (ENSSSAG00000110136.1, ENSSSAG00000112362.1, ENSSSAG00075062879.1)". The record is from RNAcentral. Lineage: Eukaryota; Metazoa; Chordata; Actinopteri; Salmoniformes; Salmonidae.